UACGGAGGAUCCAAGCGUUAUCCGGAAUCAUUGGGUUUAAAGGGUCCGUAGGCGGUUUGGUAAGUCAGUGGUAAAAGCCCAUCGCUCAACGGUGGAACGGCCAUUGAUACUGCCAGACUUGAAUUAUUAGGAAGUAACUAGAAUAUGUAGUGUAGCGGUGAAAUGCUUAGAGAUUACAUGGAAUACCAAUUGCGAAGGCAGGUUACUACUAAUGGAUUGACGCUGAUGGACGAAAGCGUGGGUAGCGAACAGG
Molecule: ribosomal RNA, 253 nt
Filed under: uncultured bacterium
Lineage: Bacteria
Description: partial 16S ribosomal RNA
Rfam family: Bacterial small subunit ribosomal RNA
Source: RNAcentral